RNAcentral lists this ribosomal RNA (141 nucleotides) under uncultured bacterium. RNAcentral's name for it is "partial 16S ribosomal RNA". It matches the Rfam family "Bacterial small subunit ribosomal RNA", at positions 355 to 509 of the family's 1533-position model. The record is from RNAcentral.
UGGGGGAUAUUGCACAAUGGGGGGAAACCCUGAUGCAGCGACGCCGCGUGAGUGAAGACGGCCUUCGGGUUGUAAAGCUCUGUCAAUCGGGACGAAGAAGAUGACGGUACCGAUGAAGGAAGCUCCGGCUAACUACGUGCC